Molecule: ribosomal RNA, 113 nt
Filed under: Caerostris darwini
Lineage: Eukaryota; Metazoa; Arthropoda; Arachnida; Araneae; Araneidae
Source: RNAcentral
CUACGGCCGUACCAUACUGAAUAUACCGGUUCUCGUUAGAUCACCGAAGUCAAGCAGCAUUGGGCGCGGUCAGUACUUGGGUGGGUGACCACCUGGGAACACUGCGUGCCGUU